This is an RNA transcript of Sapajus apella (tufted capuchin), 1477 nucleotides long. It is a transcript of the gene named ring finger and CHY zinc finger domain containing 1, with no coding region annotated. The transcript has 10 exons. The record is from RefSeq and is a predicted model, not a curated record. Lineage: Eukaryota; Metazoa; Chordata; Mammalia; Primates; Cebidae.
ACGUGCUUAGGAGCCAUAUUAGCGCUGGUGACCGCUGCGGCUGGGAGGGGGUGUGCCAGAGCGGCGCAGCUUCACUGGGCGUGGUUUUCAUCCUGUGGGAAGGCUCGGUGGAAUGUGAGGGGAGAUGGAGGAGAUGGCGGCGACAGCGCGGGAAGAUGGCGCGAGCGGUCAAGAGCGAGGGCAGCGGGGCUGCGAGCACUAUGACAGAGGAUGUCUCCUGAAGGCACCUUGCUGUGACAAGCUUUAUACUUGCCGUUUGUGUCAUGAUAACAAUGAAGAUCAUCAACUAGACCGCUUUAAAGUGAAGGAAGUGCAGUGCAUAAACUGUGAAAAAAUUCAACAUGCCCAACAGACUUGUGAAGAAUGUAGCACAUUGUUUGGAGAAUAUUAUUGUGAUAUAUGCCAUUUGUUUGACAAAGAUAAGAAACAGUAUCACUGUGAAAACUGUGGAAUUUGUAGGAUUGGUCCAAAGGAAGAUUUUUUCCAUUGUUUGAAAUGUAACUUAUGCCUAGCUAUGAAUCUUCAAGGAAGACACAAGUGUAUUGAAAAUGUGUCCCGACAGAAUUGUCCAAUAUGUUUGGAGGACAUUCACACAUCUCGUGUUGUUGCUCAUGUCUUGCCAUGUGGACAUCUUUUACAUAGAACAUGUUAUGAAGAAAUGCUGAAAGAGACUGAGAAAAAAGACUUAGUUUUAAAGGCUACAGAUGUCCAUUAUGUAUGCACUCUGCUUUCGAUAUGACCAGGUAUUGGAGACAGCUAGAUGCUGAAGUAGCACAGACUCCUAUGCCAUCAGAAUAUCAGAACAUGACUGUGGAUAUUCUCUGCAAUGACUGUAAUGGACGAUCCACUGUUCAGUACCAUAUAUUAGGCAUGAAAUGUAAGAUUUGUGAAUCCUACAAUACUGCUCAAGCUGGAGGAUGUAGUUUUUCACUGGAUCAGCAAUGACCAGCCUAUGCAGUACUGGAGAACUUGGCAUUUUCUGAUAUAGAAAAAGGCUUUCCUUGGUAUCCUGUUAUCAUGUGUCAUAAUCUAUGCAUUAGAGUUGAUGUGUUUUGUACUAGUGUUACAGCAUAAAAUCAUGUUACAAGUACUUAAGGAUUCAGGGUCUCUUGAUAGAAUUUUCAUAGCUCUAUAUUGAAUGAAAGCCAUGUGCUUGUGUUUGGAUUGGAAAUUCCUUUAGUGUCAGUUUUUUGGAAGCCAAUGAUGUUUGCCACUGAUAUAUUCAUAGAAAUGUAUUAUAGUUUCAUGAAACUUUGCUUUAAGUGACACUAUGCACGCAGUUCAUUUCUAGUUCUUGGUAGAACUGCACUUAAUUCUCAGUAGUAGUCUUGACUUUUUAAGGCUGUGCUGUAGUAAGUUCUCCCCUAUUGUUAAAACCUAAUUAAAUAUGCUUUAGAAUUUUCUAUGAAAGUCCUCUGGAUCCUCUAAAUGUGAAUUUUGAUGUAAUAAAUGCUUAUAAAAUUAUAUUAAAACAAUG